UUAUUAUUUCUUUCUCUUCUUCAUAUCUGAAAUGUAUGUUUUCCCCUAGCUAUAUAUUUAUUUAAUGUAUACACACACAAGUUUAUUUUUUCCUAAAAAAUAUGCAUUUAAGGCUCUGAAUGUCACUCUAAAUUUUGGUUAUUGUGCAUCUCAUAGGUUUUACUGUACAUUUUAUAAUUAUAAUACACUUCUUAGUAUUGUAAAUAUUAUUCCAUUAGGUUAUUUGGAAGUGAAUUAUUUCACAAAAUGAAAGAUGAGGAGGUCAAUUUCAUUAUUACUUUUAAAUAUUACUUCUUUGUGGUUAUGAAAGUGAUCUAUAGGGUCUUAACACUGGGAAUGUAACAGUCAACUAUAUCUGGUAAAUUUAAGUAAACAUUCCACAGGCAUAUAACAAGUUCUUGAAACUCUCAGAACAAUAUUCACUUCCUAAUAUAAGAAAAUAAAAAUAUGUUGAAAAAUAAAAUAUUUGACAAAAAUGAAAAAUUUUAGUUGUUUUAGACAAAUUAUAGUUAACUUAUCUUCUUAAAAUCAUUAUUUAAAUUUAAUUAUAUAUUCAAAUAUUUUUCUCCUUCACAAUUUCUAAUGCCAUCAUACCCAGAAAGUUUUUAGGUUUUUAUUGAAUUUGUUACAAUAUUGCUUCUGUUUUAUGUUUUCUUGGCCCUGAAGCAUGUGGGAUCUUAGACCCUGGACUGGGUUUGGAACCCAUAUCCCCAGCAUUGGAAAGCAAAGUCUUAACCACUGCACCCCUAGGGUUGGAGAAGAUGGCAUUUCACUUACUGGUGGAGAUGCAUUCAGGAGGGGAGGACCAGCCUGCUUCAGCACAGGUGUGUUUGUCCUGAAGAUGCAGAAUGACCGUUUUCCACAAAAGGAAAGAAACACACUCCUAAGGACCAAAGGUUGUUUAAUGUACCAGAUGGAAGCGGCUUCUCAAAACAUGAAGGACUACAUCUCUCAUCUUUGCUGGCUCCUCUAGUCCUGAUCCCUGUGACUAUCUGUCAAGACCUUGUGACCCCACCUGCUACAUCCUUCUCCACUCCCCGAACAAUUCAUCCACAUCAGGCAUUUACUCACUGAGACAUUUUGGUGUCGGUGACCAUCCUCCCUCUGUGCAUGUUAUGGGAGUCCAAAAGAAUUUUGAAGGAGACAUAAAAUUAUAU
Non-coding RNA from Odocoileus virginianus texanus, 1157 nucleotides. Lineage: Eukaryota; Metazoa; Chordata; Mammalia; Artiodactyla; Cervidae. The record is from RefSeq and is a predicted model, not a curated record.